RNAcentral lists this ribosomal RNA (433 nucleotides) under uncultured bacterium. Its description in RNAcentral is "partial 16S ribosomal RNA". It matches the Rfam family "Bacterial small subunit ribosomal RNA", at positions 29 to 507 of the family's 1533-position model. The record is from RNAcentral.
AACGAACGCUGGCGGCAUGCCUAACACAUGCAAGUCGAACGAGACCUUCGGGUCCAGUGGCGCACGGGUGCGUAACGCGUGGGAACCUGCCCUUAGGUUUGGAAUAACUCCCCGAAAGGGGUGCUAAUACCGGAUAAUGUCUUCGGACCAAAGAUUUAUCGCCUUUGGAUGGGCCCGAGUUGGAUUAGCUUGUUGGGAGGGUAAAAGCCUACCAAGGCGACGAUUCAUAGCUGGUCUGAGAGGAUGAUCAGCCACACUGAGACUGAGACACGGCCCAGACUCCUACGGGAGGCAGCAGUGGGGAAUAUUGCACAAUGGGCGAAAGCCUGAUCCAGCAAUGCCGCGUGAGUGAUGAAGGCCUUAGGGUUGUAAAGCUCUUUUACCCGGGAUGAUAAUGACAGUACCGGAAGAAUAAGCUCCGGCUAACUCCGUG